GCUCCUAUAACUCAGGUGGAUAGAGUGCAGGACUUCGAAUCCUGAUGCCCCCCGUUCAAAUCGGGGUAGGAGUACCA
RNAcentral lists this transfer RNA (77 nucleotides) under Streptococcus parasanguinis. RNAcentral's name for it is "tRNA-Arg". It matches the Rfam family "tRNA". Rfam says of the family: Transfer RNA (tRNA) molecules are approximately 80 nucleotides in length. RNAcentral also lists the same sequence under 3 other names. Lineage: Bacteria; Bacillati; Bacillota; Bacilli; Lactobacillales; Streptococcaceae. The record is from RNAcentral.